Long non-coding RNA from Labrus mixtus (cuckoo wrasse), 554 nucleotides. RefSeq lists it as uncharacterized. NCBI's taxonomy places the organism in Eukaryota, Metazoa, Chordata, Actinopteri, Labriformes, Labridae. The record is from RefSeq and is a predicted model, not a curated record. The transcript has 2 exons.
UUGAUCUUUACAGAAGUCUCGGCUCAUCAUCAUGUGCUGUUUUUUGAAUAUAAAAUGAAAUACCCUGAACUGAAACUAAUUCCUCCCAGGUUUGAUACCAAACAUAUAAAAACUCUUGGCUCAUGGAUCUCCCGCUCACAUCAAAAGACUCAGUCGACAUUUCAACAUGUGUAUCCAGGUGUGAUCAGAGACUCCUGUAAUGUUUCCACCACAUUUAGUCCCGUGAAGGUGACUGCGUUCCUGCAGUGUGAGGCGGGUUGGAAAAAGUCGGCGGGUGUCUGCAGAGAGAGGUCGGCACACCGGCGUCUCCGCUGCCUACAUCCAAACGUUUAGAGUCAAACUCAGACAUGAUUACACCGAGUGUGGCAGGGAUUGCAUCAUAUCUGUUAUUCCAGCUCAGGAGGAAAGCAUGUCACAAAAAUUCUUUUUUUUCCUUCUUGUUGAAUAUAAAAAUUCUCUGGAGAAUCGUAAAAACUCGUGUUUCCUGUUAAUACUCUGUUAUUUUAAAUCCCCAGACUAAUUAAAUGUGUUUGUGCGUGUUACCGCAUCAUAAA